GUGCUCACUUCGGCAGCACAUAUAGUAGUAAAAUUGGAACGAUACAGAGAAACUUAGCAUGGCCUCUGCAUAAGGAUGACGCUCAAAUUCAUGAAAAAGUAUGCUAAACCCGUUUCU
This 117-nucleotide small nuclear RNA is filed under the name Microcebus murinus (gray mouse lemur). The record is from RNAcentral. Lineage: Eukaryota; Metazoa; Chordata; Mammalia; Primates; Cheirogaleidae.